GAUGAACGCUGGCGGCGUGCCUAAUACAUGCAAGUCGAGCGAACAGACGAGGAGCUUGCUCCUCUGACGUUAGCGGCGGACGGGUGAGUAACACGUGGAUAACCUACCUAUAAGACUGGGAUAACUUCGGGAAACCGGAGCUAAUACCGUAUAAUAUAUUGAACCGCAUGGUUCAAUAGUGAAAGACGGUUUUGCUGUCACUUAUAGAUGGAUCCGCGCCGCAUUAGCUAGUUGGUAAGGUAACGGCUUACCAAGGCAACGAUGCGUAGCCGACCUGAGAGGGUGAUCGGCCACACUGGAACUGAGACACGGUCCAGACUCCUACGGGAGGCAGCAGUAGGGAAUCUGCCGCAAUAGGCGAAAGCCUGACGGAGCAACGCCGCGUGAGUGAUGAAGGUCUUCGGAGCGUAAAACUCUGUUAUUAGGGAAGAACAAAUGUGGAAGUAACUAUGCACGUCUUGACGGUACCUAAUCAGAAAGCCACGGCUAACUACGUG
Molecule: ribosomal RNA, 497 nt
Filed under: uncultured bacterium
Lineage: Bacteria
Description: partial 16S ribosomal RNA
Rfam family: Bacterial small subunit ribosomal RNA
Source: RNAcentral